GAUGAACGCUGGCGGCGUGCCUAAUACAUGCAAGUCGAGCGAACAGACGAGGAGCUUGCUCCGCUUAUGUUAGCGGCGGACGGGUGAGUAACACGUGGAGAACCUACCUAUAAGACUGGGAUAACUUCGGGAAACCGGAGCUAAUACCGGCUAACAUGUUGAACCGCAUGGUUCAACAGUGAAAGACGGUCUUGCUGUAACUAAUAGAGUAGGCCGCGCCGCAUUAGCUAGUUGUUAAGGUAACGGCUUACCAAGGCAACGACGCGUAGCCGACCUGAGACGGUGAUCGGCCACACUGGAACUGAGACACGGUCCAGACUCCUACGGGAGGCAGCAGUCGGGCAUCUUCCGCAAUGAGCGAAAGCCUGAAGGAGCAAAGCCGCGUGAGUGAAGAAGGUCUUCGGAUCGUAAAACUCUGUUAUUAGGGAAGAACAAAUUUGUAAGCAAAUAUGCACGUAUUGACGGUACCUAAUCAGAAAGCCACGGCUAACUACGCG
This 497-nucleotide ribosomal RNA is filed under the name uncultured bacterium. RNAcentral's name for it is "partial 16S ribosomal RNA". It matches the Rfam family "Bacterial small subunit ribosomal RNA", at positions 28 to 507 of the family's 1533-position model. The record is from RNAcentral.